RNAcentral lists this ribosomal RNA (577 nucleotides) under uncultured bacterium. Its description in RNAcentral is "bacterial SSU rRNA". It matches the Rfam family "Bacterial small subunit ribosomal RNA", at positions 102 to 666 of the family's 1533-position model. The record is from RNAcentral.
ACGGGUGAGUAACACGUAGGCAACCUGCCCUCAAGCCUGGGAUAACUACCGGAAACGGUAGCUAAUACCGGAUAAUUUCUUUCUUCUCCUGAGGAGAGAAUGAAAGGCGGAGCAAUCUGCUGCUUGGGGAUGGGCCUGCGGCGCAUUAGCUAGUUGGUGGGGUAACGGCCCACCAAGGCGACGAUGCGUAGCCGACCUGAGAGGGUGAACGGCCACACUGGGACUGAGACACGGCCCAGACUCCUACGGGAGGCAGCAGUAGGGAAUCUUCCGCAAUGGGCGAAAGCCUGACGGAGCAACGCCGCGUGAGUGAUGAAGGUUUUCGGAUCGUAAAGCUCUGUUGCCAGGGAAGAACGUCCGGUAGAGUAACUGCUGCCGGAGUGACGGUACCUGAGAAGAAAGCCCCGGCUAACUACGUGCCAGCAGCCGCGGUAAUACGUAGGGGGCAAGCGUUGUCCGGAAUUAUUGGGCGUAAAGCGCGCGCAGGCGGUUAUUUAAGUCUGGUGUUUAAACCUUGGGCUCAACCUGAGGUCGCACUGGAAACUGGGUGACUUGAGUACAGAAGAGGAAAGUGGAA